This 108-nucleotide small nuclear RNA is filed under the name Loxodonta africana (African savanna elephant). Lineage: Eukaryota; Metazoa; Chordata; Mammalia; Proboscidea; Elephantidae. The record is from RNAcentral.
CUGCUCCCUUCGGUAACACAUAUACUAAAUUUGGAACUAUACACAGGAGAUUAUUAUAGCCCCUGUGUAAGGGUCAGAAGCCUUGGUGGCGUAGCUGUCAGCAGUUCA